AGGGGAUUAGUGGCGAACGGGUGAGUAACACGUGGGCAAUCUGCCCUUCACUCUGGGACAAGCCCUGGAAACGGGGUCUAAUACCGGAUAAUACUGCGGAUCGCAUGGUCUGCGGUUGAAAGCUCCGGCGGUGAAGGAUGAGCCCGCGGCCUAUCAGCUUGUUGGUGGGGUGAUGGCCUACCAAGGCGACGACGGGUAGCCGGCCUGAGAGGGCGACCGGCCACACUGGGACUGAGACACGGCCCAGACUCCUACGGGAGGCAGCAGUGGGGAAUAUUGCACAAUGGGCGAAAGCCUGAUGCAGCGACGCCGCGUGAGGGAUGACGGCCUUCGGGUUGUAAACCUCUUUCAGCAGGGAAGAAGCGAAAGUGACGGUACCUGCAGAAGAAGCGCCGGCUAACUACGUGCCAGCAGCCGCGGUAAUACGUAGGGCGCAAGCGUUGUCCGGAAUUAUUGGGCGUAAAGAGCUCGUAGGCGGCUUGUCGCGUCGGAUGUGAAAGCCCGGGGCUUAACCCCGGGUCUGCAUUCGAUACGGGCAGGCUAGAGUGUGGUAGGGGAGAUCGGAAUUCCUGGUGUAGCGGUGAAAUGCGCAGAUAUCAGGAGGAACACCGGUGGCGAAGGCGGAUCUCUGGGCCAUUACUGACGCUGAGGAGCGAAAGCGUGGGGAGCGAACAGGAUUAGAUACCCUGGUAGUCCACGCCGUAAACGUUGGGAACUAGGUGUUGGCGACAUUCCACGUCGUCGGUGCCGC
RNAcentral lists this ribosomal RNA (751 nucleotides) under Streptomyces sp. RNAcentral describes it as "bacterial SSU rRNA". It matches the Rfam family "Bacterial small subunit ribosomal RNA", at positions 86 to 849 of the family's 1533-position model. The record is from RNAcentral. Lineage: Bacteria; Bacillati; Actinomycetota; Actinomycetes; Kitasatosporales; Streptomycetaceae.